Molecule: transfer RNA, 68 nt
Filed under: Rubrisciurus rubriventer (Sulawesi giant squirrel)
Lineage: Eukaryota; Metazoa; Chordata; Mammalia; Rodentia; Sciuridae
Description: tRNA-Lys
Rfam family: tRNA
About the family: Transfer RNA (tRNA) molecules are approximately 80 nucleotides in length. Their secondary structure includes four short double-helical elements and three loops (D, anti-codon, and T loops).
Source: RNAcentral
CAUUAUGAAGCUAAUUUAGCAUUAACCUUUUAAGUUAAAGAAUAGGAGUAUUAAUCUCCUCAUAAUGA